Molecule: ribosomal RNA, 647 nt
Filed under: Psychotria bremekampiana
Lineage: Eukaryota; Viridiplantae; Streptophyta; Magnoliopsida; Gentianales; Rubiaceae
Description: eukaryotic LSU rRNA
Rfam family: 5.8S ribosomal RNA (bases 231-386)
Source: RNAcentral
UCCGUAGGUGAACCUGCGGAAGGAUCAUUGUCGAAGCUUGCCUAGCAAACCAACGCGAACAAGUUAACAAACUGCGGGUUGCGGACGGAACGAGGGACACCUCUAACGUUAGCGCUUGCACCCAACUAAAACUCUCGGCGCGGGAUGCGCCAAGGAUUACUGAAAACAGAUUACUUGCACCUCUGCGGCUUCCGUGGUGUGUGAAAAGUGUCUGAUGGCUUAACAAAAAUGACUCUCGGCAACGGAUAUCUCGGCUCUCGUAUCGAUAAAAAACGUAGCGAAAUACGAUACUUGGUGUGAAUUGCAGAAUCCCGUGAACCAUCGAGUUUUUGAACGCAAGUUGCGCCUGAGGCCGUUAGGCUAAGGGCACGUCUGCCUGGAAGUUGGACAUGCAGUGGUCACCUCUUUCCGCACCUGUGUGGAUAUGAAUGACGGAUGUUGGCCUCUCGUGUCAUCUCAGUGCGRCUGGCCAAAAUGUGAGUUCUUGGUGCGAUCUUUCACGACAAGUGGUGGUUGAACAUGUCAAAUCAUGUGCUGUCGAAAGGAUUGCCCGAUGCGAAUCUCAAUGACCCACACGGGUGUCAAGGGCCUUCGACMCCAGGUCAGGCGGGAUUACCCGCUGAGUUAAAGCMUAUCAAUUAGCGGAR